CACGUAGGGUGCGAGCGUUGUCCGGAAUUAUUGGGCGUAAAGAGCUCGUAGGCGGUGUGUCGCGUCGGCCGUGAAAACCUGCAGCUUAACUGUGGGCUUGCGGUCGAUACGGGCAUCGCUGGAGUUCGGCAGGGGAGACUGGAAUUCCUGGUGUAGCGGUGAAAUGCGUAGAUAUCAAGAGGAACACCUGCGGCGAAGGCGGGUUGCUGGGCCGACACUGACGCUGAGGCGCGAAAGCCAGGGGAGCGAACGGG
Molecule: ribosomal RNA, 254 nt
Filed under: uncultured bacterium
Lineage: Bacteria
Description: partial 16S ribosomal RNA
Rfam family: Bacterial small subunit ribosomal RNA
Source: RNAcentral